GCCUGUAAGACUGGGAUAACUUCGGGAAACCGAAGCUAAUACCGGAUAGGAUCUUCUCCUUCAUGGGAGAUGAUUGAAAGAUGGUUUCGGCUAUCACUUACAGAUGGGCCCGCGGUGCAUUAGCUAGUUGGUGAGGUAACGGCUCACCAAGGCAACGAUGCAUAGCCGACCUGAGAGGGUGAUCGGCCACACUGGGACUGAGACACGGCCCAGACUCCUACGGGAGGCAGCAGUAGGGAAUCUUCCGCAAUGGACGAAAGUCUGACGGAGCAACGCCGCGUGAGUGAUGAAGGCUUUCGGGUCGUAAAACUCUGUUGUUAGGGAAGAACAAGUACGAGAGUAACUGCUCGUACCUUGACGGUACCUAACCAGAAAGCCACGGCUAACUACGUGCCAGCAGCCGCGGUAAUACGUAGGUGGCAAGCGUUAUCCGGAAUUAUUGGGCGUAAAGCGCGCGCAGGCGGUUUCUUAAGUCUGAUGUGAAAGCCCACGGCUCAACCGUGGAGGGUCAUUGGAAACUGGGGAACUUGAGUGCAGAAGAGAAAAGCGGAAUUCCACGUGUAGCGGUGAAAUGCGUAGAGAUGUGGAGGAACACCAGUGGCGAAGGCGG
RNAcentral lists this ribosomal RNA (610 nucleotides) under Bacillus sp. (in: firmicutes). RNAcentral's name for it is "bacterial SSU rRNA". It matches the Rfam family "Bacterial small subunit ribosomal RNA", at positions 128 to 724 of the family's 1533-position model. Lineage: Bacteria; Bacillati; Bacillota; Bacilli; Caryophanales; Bacillaceae. The record is from RNAcentral.